Heterocephalus glaber (naked mole-rat) is the source of this 1121-nucleotide long non-coding RNA. The record is from Ensembl. NCBI's taxonomy places the organism in Eukaryota, Metazoa, Chordata, Mammalia, Rodentia, Bathyergidae.
GUCCUUCCGUGUGAGAUCCAGUGGGGCAGAGCAAGGGCAGUGGGUCAGACUGCCCAGAUGUGUGGCCGGCUCAGCUGUCUACUGUCUGUCCCCUUGAGCAAGCUGGUCACCUUGCCUAUGCCUCAACUUCCUCAUCUGCACACGGAGGAUGACACAGUAGUUCCUUCCUUCCACCCUCGAGGGCUGCUGAGGAUUGAAUACAAUCACAUCCAUAAGGUGCUGCAAUUCCCAGGCCCCGGCCCACAGCCAGCGUGUGACAGGCCUCUCCAAGGAGGAUGAGAAAUGUUGACAAACAGGUUGAAGUUGGAACCUGUGCCAGCCGCUCUGCUUGCUUCCUGCUGCCCGUAGCCCUGGCCCUUGUGGUUGAGGACACAGAAAAGUAAAGAGGAUGUUGGCUUUCUCAUGGGAUGGUGUGGAAUCAGCAGCCACAGGGAGCUCUGGGAGGUGGGAGACAGCAGAGGUGGGGUCUCCCUCAGCCCCUUCCCUAGCCCUGCUGUUUGGUAGCUUUCCUUCCCACACCUCCUGGCUGUCCCGCAAGGCCCUACUUCAUACCAGAACUUUUGCCCAUCCUUCUGUACCUGUCCCAUACCUGUGCUUUUCUCUGGCCUGCUUUCUGCCUGUGUGGCUCAUAGAGGAGCUCAUCCAUAUGCUGGGCUGUGGGAAAACCCGUGUUCCUUUUAGGUUAUACAUUUGAAAUGGAAAGGCAGCACUGCUAAGCUUCUGAGCAGUCUGUUGGGGAUACAUUUGGGGAGCCAAUAAGCCCUUGGGAGGGGACACACAACCCCAGGCUGGUCUCCCAGUUUCUAGGGCUGUGGGGAGCCUGAGACGCUGCUUGCCCUCCCCACAAGCCCCAGGGAGAGGUUCCUUUGUCCCUGCAAAGUGUAUGGCUAAGUCCCAGUUGUACCCUGAGUGACUCCCAGUUGUCCUCCCAGACACAAAGCCAAACCAAAACCAAAACCUGCUGUGGCAAAAUAAUAAUAGGCUAGCAUUUUUGAGCAUCUGUUAUGUGUCAGAUUGUGUGCAUUUAUCUCCAACCUUCAUAACAACCUGAAGAGAUGAAUAUUAUCAUCCCAUUUUACUGGAGAAAAAACUGAGAUUCAGUGACUUGCCCAAAUUCUCAC